Molecule: non-coding RNA, 518 nt
Organism: Zootermopsis nevadensis
Lineage: Eukaryota; Metazoa; Arthropoda; Insecta; Blattodea; Termopsidae
Source: RefSeq, a predicted model, not a curated record
ACAAUCAUUAAGAUAAUUUUAACAAGGUUGGCAACGCAGAAAAGGCGUGUACUCAACUGUUUCUUGGCGGUUUACAACACCAAUAUUAUUCUACCUUAGUUUUCAGGAGUUAUUGCAUAAAUUAUACCAACUUCGAGGUAAUAAUAUAGUGGAGUGACUGAGAAGAACUACGAAUAUCAUCAAUAAAGAUAGUGUAUCUAUAAGACGGACUUCCGAACUCGUCCCAGAUAUAAAGGAGGUGUGGGAAAAGUCUAAGGACCGGCCCUGAGACACACCACGACGUCUGUCCAGCGAGUAGAGGUCCACGUGGUCUUCCCGCUGAGGAAAGCAGCCGGAUUGUAAAGACGACCUCUUACUUCUCAAACAACGCUAAAAAUGAGCGGCACUUCUCCACCGUCAGGGGGUGAUGGAUUCCUCAACAACUAGUGAUGACGAAUUUUGAACACGUCCUUUUGAAGAAACAUCAAUGUCGCAGCCUUGAAGCCGGUCUUUACCAAAUACGGACGAUACAAAUGGUA